Molecule: ribosomal RNA, 540 nt
Filed under: Staphylococcus sp.
Lineage: Bacteria; Bacillati; Bacillota; Bacilli; Caryophanales; Staphylococcaceae
Description: bacterial SSU rRNA
Rfam family: Bacterial small subunit ribosomal RNA
Source: RNAcentral
UUGGAGAGUUUGAUCCUGGCUCAGGAUGAACGCUGGCGGCGUGCCUAAUACAUGCAAGUCGAGCGAACAGACGAGGAGCUUGCUCCUCUGACGUUAGCGGCGGACGGGUGAGUAACACGUGGAUAACCUACCUAUAAGACUGGGAUAACUUCGGGAAACCGGAGCUAAUACCGGAUAACAUGUUGAACCGCAUGGUUCAACAGUGAAAGACGGUCUUGCUGUCACUUAUAGAUGGAUCCGCGCCGCAUUAGCUAGUUGGUAAGGUAACGGCUUACCAAGGCAACGAUGCGUAGCCGACCUGAGAGGGUGAUCGGCCACACUGGAACUGAGACACGGUCCAGACUCCUACGGGAGGCAGCAGUAGGGAAUCUUCCGCAAUGGGCGAAAGCCUGACGGAGCAACGCCGCGUGAGUGAAGAAGGUCUUCGGAUCGUAAAACUCUGUUAUUAGGGAAGAACAAAUGUGUAAGUAACUAUGCACGUCUUGACGGUACCUAAUCAGAAAGCCACGGCUAACUACGAUGCCAGCAGCCGCGGUAAUA